AUGCUGGCCGCCGGUGACGAAGAGCACGGCCUGCUCCACCAUCCUCAAGGUGUCUUGCAUCUCGAGCAGCUCUACCAGCACGUCGUCGACCGCGUCGAUGGUCUGCUGCAGCCUCAGCGCCACCUCCGGCAUGAGCGGCCCGGCCCCGGGUCGCACCCGCGACGCGGGCAUGAUCCCGCAGAGACGGACGGCGAAGUCAGCCGCGAGGCUCCUGUCGACGGCGAAGUUCAGCCUCUGCAGCGCCCUCCUUGCCAGGACGUCGGCCUGGUAGUGGUUAACGAACCAGAGAAUGUACGCGGUUCGGCCGCCGGGGAGGGCAUAGAGACCGAGAGUCGCGACGUAGGCCCAGAAGUGGUACGCGUUACCGGCGUGGGCGACGUGGACGAGGUACCUGAGCUCGCGACUGGCCUCCUGGAGUGGCCCGCCCUCCGGCGGCGGGUUGUAGAAGUUGGCGUGGACGAGGGCCCUGGCGGCGUCGGUGACGGCCGCGAGCGGCCCGGGCCAGUUGAAGAGGGUGUCGACGAUGUUGGCGGCGGGCCCGAUGAGGAGCGGAUUCAUGCCGCGAGACACGUCCUCGAGCAAGUCGGUGUAGAUGGUCUCCGCUGCUUCGAUGGGCUCCUGUUCCAGGAGGAGCACCGCCGAGACCUCGCGGAGCGUCACGCGGGCUCUCCGGCAGCGGGGGAUGAUGUAGUUCUCCAGCUCGGUGGCGACGCGGCGCCUGUAGUGCGCCGCCCACUGCAGCCUCCUCGCCAUCCACUGCGCCAUCCACUGCGCCAUCCACUGCGGAUCCGGAGCGGGAACCUCCUGCACCCCCUCCUCCUCCUCCAUCAACGGCGGCGGCUGCAUCCCCUCCUCCUCGUCCACCAGCGGCGGCGGCUGCACCACCACCUCCUCCUCCUCUACCACCAUCGGCGGUGGCUGCACCGCCACCUCCUCCUCCACCACCACGACCGGCGGCGGCUGCACCACCACCUCCUCCUCCACCACCACCACGACCGGCGGCGGCUGGACCACCUCCUCCUCGUCGACCACCAGGACCGGCGGCGGCGGCAUCACCACCCCGUCCUCUUCCAUCUCUCUCUCUCUCUUGCGGCGUGUGUUGUGUUGCGUGGGAUAUUCCGCGGGUGA
This 1128-nucleotide ribosomal RNA is filed under the name Triticum aestivum (bread wheat). Its description in RNAcentral is "partial small subunit ribosomal RNA". The record is from RNAcentral. Lineage: Eukaryota; Viridiplantae; Streptophyta; Magnoliopsida; Poales; Poaceae.